Molecule: ribosomal RNA, 227 nt
Filed under: Penicillium corylophilum
Lineage: Eukaryota; Fungi; Ascomycota; Eurotiomycetes; Eurotiales; Aspergillaceae
Description: partial 28S ribosomal RNA
Rfam family: Eukaryotic large subunit ribosomal RNA
Source: RNAcentral
UUGACCUCGGAUCAGGUAGGGAUACCCGCUGAACUUAAGCAUAUCAAUAAGCGGAGGAAAAGAAACCAACAGGGAUUGCCUCAGUAACGGCGAGUGAAGCGGCAAGAGCUCAAAUUUGAAAGCUGGCCCCCUCGGGGUCCGCAUUGUAAUUUGCAGAGGAUGCUUCGGGAGUGGCCCCCAUCUAAGUGCUCUGGAACGGGCCGUCAUAGAGGGUGAGAAUCCCGUAU